UACGUAGGCAGCGAGCGUUGUUCGGAGUUAUUGGGCGUAAAGAGCGUGUAGGCGGCCAGGUAGGUCUGCUGUGAAAACUCGAGGCUUAACCUCGAGCUGUCGGCGGAAACCAUCUGGCUAGAGUCCGGAAGAGGAGAAUGGAAUUCCCGGUGUAGCGGUGAAAUGCGCAGAUAUCGGGAAGAACACCCGUGGCGAAGGCGGUUCUCUGGGACGGUACUGACGCUGAGACGCGAAAGCGUGGGGAGCGAACAGG
This 253-nucleotide ribosomal RNA is filed under the name uncultured bacterium. Its description in RNAcentral is "partial 16S ribosomal RNA". It matches the Rfam family "Bacterial small subunit ribosomal RNA", at positions 524 to 776 of the family's 1533-position model. The record is from RNAcentral.